AACCUCCGCAAUGUGAGAAAUCGCGACGGGGGGAUCCCAAGUGCCAUUCUUAACGGGAUGGCUUUUCAUUAGUGUAAAGAGCUUUUGGAAUAAGGGCUGGGCAAGACCGGUGCCAGCCGCCGCGGUAACACCGGCGGCUCUAGUGGUAGCAGUUUUUAUUGGGCCUAAAGCGUCCGUAGCCGGUUUAAUAAGUCUCUGGUGAAAUCCUGUAGCUUAACUGUGGGAAUAGCUGGAGAUACUAUUAGACUUGAGACCGGGAGAGGUUAGAGGUACUCCCAGGGUAGAGGUGAAAUUCUGUAAUCCUGGGAGGACCGCCUGUUGCGAAGGCGUCUAACUGGAACGGUUCUGACGGUGAGGGACGAAAGUUAGGGGCGCGAACCGGAUUAGAUACCCGGGUAGUCCUAACUGUAAACGAUGCGGACUUGGUGUUGGGUGGCUUUGAGCUGCUCCAGUGCCGAAGGGAAGCUGUUAAGUCCGCCGCCUGGGAAGUACGGUCGCAAGACUGAAACUUAAAGGAAUU
Molecule: ribosomal RNA, 520 nt
Filed under: uncultured bacterium
Lineage: Bacteria
Description: bacterial SSU rRNA
Rfam family: Archaeal small subunit ribosomal RNA
Source: RNAcentral